This 37-nucleotide ribosomal RNA is filed under the name Limnodrilus grandisetosus. RNAcentral describes it as "partial 28S ribosomal RNA". Lineage: Eukaryota; Metazoa; Annelida; Clitellata; Tubificida; Naididae. The record is from RNAcentral.
CGACCUGAGAUCAGACGAGACUACCCGCUGAAUUUAA